This 492-nucleotide ribosomal RNA is filed under the name uncultured bacterium. RNAcentral's name for it is "partial 16S ribosomal RNA". It matches the Rfam family "Bacterial small subunit ribosomal RNA", at positions 29 to 507 of the family's 1533-position model. The record is from RNAcentral.
AGUGAACGCUGGCGGUAGGCCUAACACAUGCAAGUCGAACGGCAGCACAGUAAGAGCUUGCUCUUACGGGUGGCGAGUGGCGGACGGGUGAGGAAUACAUCGGAAUCUACUUUUUCGUGGGGGAUAACGUAGGGAAACUUACGCUAAUACCGCAUACGACCUACGGGUGAAAGCAGGGGAUCUUCGGACCUUGCGCGAUUGAAUGAGCCGAUGUCGGAUUAGCUAGUUGGCGGGGUAAAGGCCCACCAAGGCGACGAUCCGUAGCUGGUCUGAGAGGAUGAUCCGCCACACUGGAACUGAGACACGGUCCAGACUCCUACGGGAGGCAGCAGUGGGGAAUAUUGGCCAAUGGGCGCAAGCCUGAUCCAGCCAUACCGCGUGGGUGAAGAAGGCCUUCGGGUUGUAAAGCCCUUUUGUUGGGAAAGAAAAGCAGCAGGUUAAUACCCCGCUGUUCUGACGGUACCCAAAGAAUAAGCACCGGCUAACUUCGUG